AUACGAACUGUGCAAACGUUAUUCGGAAUCACUGGGCUUAAAGGGUGCGUAGGCGGGUUUGAAGGUCUGAUGUGAAAGCCCACGGCUCAACCGUGGAAUUGCGUUGGAAACCACAAGCCUUGAGGGAGUCAGAGGUGAGCGGAACUAAUGGUGGAGCGGUGAAAUGCGUUGAUAUCAUUAGGAACACCGGUGGCGAAAGCGGCUCACUGGGUGGCAACUGACGCUGAGGCACGAAAGCCAGGGGAGCGAACGGGAUUAGAAACCCUAGUAGUCC
This 274-nucleotide ribosomal RNA is filed under the name uncultured bacterium. Its description in RNAcentral is "partial 16S ribosomal RNA". It matches the Rfam family "Bacterial small subunit ribosomal RNA", at positions 523 to 796 of the family's 1533-position model. The record is from RNAcentral.